Molecule: ribosomal RNA, 365 nt
Filed under: Clostridium botulinum C
Lineage: Bacteria; Bacillati; Bacillota; Clostridia; Eubacteriales; Clostridiaceae
Description: bacterial SSU rRNA
Rfam family: Bacterial small subunit ribosomal RNA
Source: RNAcentral
UUAAAUUGAGAGUUUGAUCCUGGCUCAGGACGAACGCUGGCGGCGUGCCUAACACAUGCAAGUCGAGCGAUGAAACUUCCUUCGGGGAGUGGAUUAGCGGCGGACGGGUGAGUAACACGUGGGUAACCUGCCUCAAAGAGGGGGAUAGCCUCCCGAAAGGGAGAUUAAUACCGCAUAACAUUAUUUUAUGGCAUCAUAAAAUAAUCAAAGGAGCAAUCCGCUUUGAGAUGGACCCGCGGCGCAUUAGCUAGUUGGUGAGGUAAGGGCUCACCAAGGCGACGAUGCGUAGCCGACCUGAGAGGGUGAUCGGCCACAUUGGAACUGAGACACGGUCCAGACUCCUACGGGAGGCAGCAGUGGGGAAU